GCUCUUGUGGCGGAAUCGGUAGACGUGUUAGUUUUAGGUGCUAAUGCCUUUUGGCGUAUGGGUUCAAAUCCCUUCAAGAGCA
This 82-nucleotide transfer RNA is filed under the name Caulerpa cliftonii. RNAcentral's name for it is "tRNA-Leu". It matches the Rfam family "tRNA". From Rfam's summary of the family: Transfer RNA (tRNA) molecules are approximately 80 nucleotides in length. Their secondary structure includes four short double-helical elements and three loops (D, anti-codon, and T loops). The record is from RNAcentral. Lineage: Eukaryota; Viridiplantae; Chlorophyta; Ulvophyceae; Bryopsidales; Caulerpaceae.